CCUACGGGUGGCUGCAGUGGGGAAUAUUGGACAAUGGGCGAAAGCCUGAUCCAGCCAUGCCGCGUGUGUGAAGAAGGCCUUCGGGUUGUAAAGCACUUUCAGUGGGGAAGGAAGCCUUGGGGCUAAUACCCUCGAGGAAGGACAUCACCCACAGAAGAAGCACCGGCUAACUCCGUGCCAGCAGCCGCGGUAAUACGGAGGGUGCGAGCGUUAAUCGGAAUUACUGGGCGUAAAGCGCGCGUAGGCGGUCUGAUAAGCCGGUUGUGAAAGCCCCGGGCUCAACCUGGGAACGGCAUCCGGAACUGUCAGGCUAGAGUGCAGGAGAGGAAGGUAGAAUUCCCGGUGUAGCGGUGAAAUGCGUAGAGAUCGGGAGGAAUACCAGUGGCGAAGGCGGCCUUCUGGACUGACACUGACGCUGAGGUGCGAAAGCGUGGGUAGCAAACAGGAUUAGAUACCCGAGUAGUC
Molecule: ribosomal RNA, 465 nt
Filed under: Vreelandella stevensii
Lineage: Bacteria; Pseudomonadati; Pseudomonadota; Gammaproteobacteria; Oceanospirillales; Halomonadaceae
Description: partial 16S ribosomal RNA
Rfam family: Bacterial small subunit ribosomal RNA
Source: RNAcentral